CAGCAACUCCAGAGUCCUAUGGAGCAUUCAUCUUGGUUGUCAGCCUUUUCGAGAUGCAUGUGCGCCCUCUGCCUGCGCGCCGCGUGCGCGUCGUGCGCUGCGCCAAAGCGCACAGCCGCACGAACCCUAGCCCCCAACCCGCAGCCGCCACAAUCUUCCCUCCUUACUUCCUCGUCAACACAGGCGCCGCACCCCUCCCUUCUCCCCCUUCCCGCAGCCCCAGGAGCUCCGCCGUACCAUUCGACGAGAUCCACCGCCUCCCGAGGUCCAUAUCCACCCCAGGUCGCGAGGAAGUCGCGGGAGGAGGAGAACCCUCGUCGCAAGGAAGAUGCAGGAGGAGGAGGUCAGCCGGGCGUCGCCGGCCGGAGAAGGAGGAGAGGCGGGGAUGCCAGCCAAGGAGGCGGAUCGCCUCGCCUCUGCUGCACUGUGAGCGCUGCCGCUGCCUCUGCAUCCACCUUGCCCCGCCGUCAUGGGAUGAGGCUCACCAUGGAAGAGCAGCCGUAGGUGCCAUAACAUCUAAAGAGCUGCAGUCGGGUGGAGGUGAGGAUGCGUAGCUCGAUUGACAAGAGCAGGGCAGUGGAUUGGAUUGAGGGCGCCUACAUGGCCACGCCGCUGCUGCCGUCUAGAGUCGCCUUGGGCCGCCGCCUCGAGUGGCCUCCAUCGCCGCCCCGAGUCAAGUCCACCACUGCCGCCAGGAAUCCCGUCCCCGGCAAGCGACCUGCUGAUGUUGCUGCUGUGCUGGCCAGGGAGUGAGUCCACUGACAUACGGACACAAGAGAUAUUCAGUUAUGAGGAUUAUAGGAUAUUAAUGAUAGUUCAGUCAUUGAGGAUUCGAAAAGAGGCAUCAAUGCUCCAGUAGAGGUGGUAUUGAAGUUGUGGCUGUCAAUAGUCCUUAUAUUGAUGCUAACUACAUGGCCUAUAUGUUCAAGUAUGACUCCACUGAUGGCCCCUUUAAAGGAUCCAUUAAGGUCGUGGAUGAUUCAAUACUGGAGAUUAAUGCGAAAAAAAUCACAACCACAAGCAAAAGGUAAAUAUGCCAGGGUUAGCUGAUUAUUUUCCAUAUUAGUGCGGUUGAUAUAGAUGUUGUGGUUUCUAAAUAUGCAUGACAUGUUGUCCUGAAAUAAGGACAUGUGAAGCAAUGAAGUCGCCAAAGUAACAUUAUUACUUAAUAAUUGAUAUAUAGUUUAGAGCCCCAUGUUUUUUGCACAUUCAUACGGACAUAUAAUAGCUUACAAGUGCACGCUUGUUGUACAUCCCGAGUACUGGAUGUUCCUUCUCUUAUUUUGAUUCUGAUGUUCAUAUGUUGAUUUUCUGCGAUGGAGGGAAAGGAGAAGUCUGAAUGUGCCAACAAGUAGCGACCAGUGAGCUAUUGUCUAUGAUUGGCUAUGGGAGGAGUUGUCUUGUGCUGCAUGGGCAUCUUGCAGAUCGAUUUCCUUGGUUUGAUGUAUCUCGGAUUCUGAUUAGUCUUUGAUUUCCCACAUUUGUUUGGAUGUUUUCUUUGCACCAAGCACCAUGCUUUUUGAUCACUGGUCAACUUGCACAGUACUAUCUAAGCAUAGUUGUUGGUUCUGAGCUUUUGCAGCACAUAACAAAUUCUAGCUUUCAAGGAAUUAUGAUAUUGGCCAUUUCCACUGAACAUGAAGAGGGCGCAUGUACGGACAUGUAGAAACUGGAGUAAAUUAACAUAAUCCCGUAGAAUGUAGUCUGGGAAUAGUACGCCAACUCAGUGAGGCAAGUACUGGCCUGUUUUGCCAUCCCUGUGAUAAAUGAAAGUUAGUUUAGGUAAUCUUGGUUAUAAAAUCAUUUUCUUAAAGUUUUAACUUAUAACUGGACAGAAAUUGUUAUUGCACCUGAAUAUUUGAUUAUGAAUCAGUAAGAGGAAAUGGGGCGUUGUUAGGCGGGACCUUGCCACUGUUGCCUUGGGUUUUGGCUUCGAAGCACCACCAUGUAUGGCUAGCCUUCCAUGGCUACAUCGAGGGUCCCAAUCUGCAGGUGAGCUCUUCUUUUCAUCUGCAGGUUAUGACUAUAGUUUGUGAUUCAUGGCUACUAUAGUCCUUCCAUGGCUAAAUCUCCACCUCAAUGAGAUUGUAAUUGUGCCAGAAACAGACUAGGCUAAAUCUCCUCCUCAAUGAGAUUUAGUUUGUGCAUUAACGACUAUAGGUUUCUUAUUGUUUUGGAGUGGUCUGCUUUCAUUUUCUCCAGUUCAGUCAUGUAUUUCUUUGCACCCAUGUUCGCUUCAGUAUUCCCUUCCGAUUCUCACACUUUGGUUGCGGCUUCUUUGUUUAUGUUGGAAGUAUUAGACAGAUAAUUUGUUCAUUUAAGUUGUCUCCUCUUUGUCCUCUUGUGUCACAUUAAAUCAUGGUAUAAUAGAUAAUUCAGUUAACUGAUUGUUUGCCAUAUUAGUGCAGUUGAUAUAGAUGUCAUGGUUUCUAAAUAUGCACGACAUGUUGUCCUGAGAUAAGGACAGUGAAGCAAUGAAGUGGCCAAAGUAACAUUAUUACUUAAUAAUUGAUUCAUAGUUUAGAGCCCCAUGUAUUUCGCACAUUCAUACAGAUAUAUAAUAUCUUACAAGUGUAUGUUGUUGUACAUCUUGAGUACUACAUGUUCCUUCUCUUAUUUUGAUUCUGAUGUUCAUAUACUGGUUCUUACUGAAUUCUGGCGUUGAUUCCAAUUUUUUGCGGAACUCCAGGACCCCGUGCAGUGUGCAUUGGACAGUGUUGUGGAGGGUCCAAUUUCCUCAUGAUUUAAGAAGCUCGGUGUAGUACCAAACAUAAUUUGAGAACACUGGCUUGUUUUGUAGUCCAUUCCCAGCACAUGUGUUCGGAAGACUGGACACUUCUUGUACUUACUCGAAAUUUUCUUUUCAUAAAAAGUUCCUUGGAAGGGAUUGCAAAGUUUAACGAGCAUGUCCCUUUUACAUCUAUUUACAGUGUGUUUUCUUUUGGUUUCACCACAUUUUUAGGUUCACAUUUUUUACAGAUUGCGUAUAUUAUAGGAGGCAUUGAUGAUGAAACAUGAAUGCCCGUUGUUCUUGUCCGCUCCUGAUCUCAGUAGACCUGUGUGAUGUGCUCUUGAUCCUUUCUCUCUUUUUUAUUAAAUGAAUCUCUGACUGAGGAGGACAUGUUCUUUAAUUAGAUUGCAAUCAUGAAACUUCUUUUGGGUUUUCUUAUUGUACAAUACAAAGCUUCCAAAUUGUUUGAUCCUGGAAAUAAGUUAGCAAAUUUCUGUGUGCAGUGAGCUGGGAGCCGGGGUCAUCUGGUACUGUCCUUUCACUCAUUUAACUAUCUUAAUUUGUUCACAAAACUCCUUCUGUAGCUAAGAUUUCUUUGUACAACACGUACUAAUUAUUGGUCUUAUUCUUAAAUCUUAUUUCACGUUAUUCAGCUGCAGGCUGGGUUAAGAUUGUUUUUGUGCCAGAAACAGACUAGGCAAUGCUCUAACCUUGGCAGCAAAAAUUGUCUAAAUUCCGUAAAUAAGGUCGUGGAAUAUCUUUGAAUACGUUCAUUUAAAUAUCUUGAGUUGACCUGUAUGGGUUGCUUCUGUGCACACUCUCUUUGAUAUGAAUUUCUAGGAGAGAAAUUCUUUCAUGGUAAUGAUGUAUUAUUGAUAUUUACUCUGUUUCUUAGGCCUAUAGGUUUCUUUUUGUGGGAUGCAAUUACGGCACCACAUGAAUAUGAUCCUUGAGUUGCAUAUUAUUGCCCUUUUGGACAUAGGCAUGUGCCAUGUAGUAUAACAUUUAUAAAGAAUGUCUUGGAAAUUGUAAGUAGAUGAUUACGGUUACCCUGUAACUUUAGGAGUAAGAUAUAUAUGGUGAUUGAAUCUAGAGAUGCUUGCUAAUCUAUAACAUUAAGAUCCAGUCACGUGCAAUAUGUUUUAUUCACAGAAACAUGGAAUCAAUCUGGCUGAAAGUAAUCAUCUUAUGGCGUGGCAUGAAGAGAUGUGUGCAGAUCUGAGAAAGAAGAGGAAUAAUCCAGCAGAAGAAUUUGGUGAAUAAGAACAAGUUGGCAUUUCUCUCUUGUGAACACAGUCAUGCCUGCCUUUUGAUUUUAUUGUUUGUACUAAUGCAAACAAGAAUUCUCUAUAGUUCUUGACGCAACACCGCUAAUUACUCAAUCUGCAAUACAUGAUUAUUUCUGGGAGAAGUUUAGUGCAUGAAUUAGCAUUCUGUAAAGUCCGUCUAAGCUCAUUUCUCUAGGCCAGGAUAGAUUUCUCAAUGUCAUUUUUGGGAUUGUUUUAACACUGAACAACAUUGCCAGGUCAACCGUUUCUCAUGUCUUUGUCAUAUCUGUAGGUAUUGUGGUGUCUCAAUUUUGUCACCAGCCUCUUUCACCGACCUGUAAACUAUCUGUCUCGAGGUCUCCCUAACUGUAUUUUGGGUUUAGAAAAAUAAAUAACUAUUUUUGGACUUA
This is a long non-coding RNA of Triticum aestivum (bread wheat), 4409 nucleotides long. RefSeq lists it as uncharacterized. Lineage: Eukaryota; Viridiplantae; Streptophyta; Magnoliopsida; Poales; Poaceae. The record is from RefSeq and is a predicted model, not a curated record. The transcript has 4 exons.